Molecule: ribosomal RNA, 378 nt
Filed under: uncultured eukaryote
Lineage: Eukaryota
Description: partial 18S ribosomal RNA
Rfam family: Eukaryotic small subunit ribosomal RNA
Source: RNAcentral
CAAUAGCGUAUAUUAAAGUUGUUGCGGUUAAAAAGCUCGUAGUUGGAUUUCUGGCUUGGACGACCGGUCCGUGCUAUGCAUGAGUAUCUGGUUCGGCCUAGCCAUCUUGCUAGAGAACGCGUGCGUACUUCACUGUAUGUCGUGGUAUCUAGCCUUUUACUUUGAGGAAAUGAGAGUGUUCCAAGCAGGCAUCCGCCUUGAAUACGUUAGCAUGGAAUAAUAAUAUAGGAUUACGGUCCGUUUUUAUCGGUUUAGCGGCCGUGAUAAUGAUUAAUAGGAACAGUCGGGGGCAUUUGUAUUUAACUGUCAGAGGUGAAAUUCUUGGAUUUGUUAAAGACAAACUACUGCGAAAGCAUUUGCCAAGGAUGUUUUCAUUGA